AACGAACGCUGGCGGCAUGCCUAACACAUGCAAGUCGAACGAGACCUUCGGGUCUAGUGGCGCACGGGUGCGUAACGCGUGGGAACCUGCCCUUAGGUUCGGAAUAACUCCCCGAAAGGGGUGCUAAUACCGGAUAAUGUCUUCGGACCAAAGAUUUAUCGCCUUUGGAUGGGCCCGCGUUGGAUUAGCUAGUUGGUAGGGUAAAAGCCUACCAAGGCGACGAUCCAUAGCUGGUCUGAGAGGAUGAUCAGCCACACUGGGACUGAGACACGGCCCAGACUCCUACGGGAGGCAGGAGUGGGGAAUAGUGGACAAUGGGCGAAAGCCUGAUCCAGCAAUGCCGCGUGAGUGAUGAAGGCCUUAGGGUUGUAAAGCUCUUUUACCCGGGAUGAUAAUGACAGUACCGGGAGAAUAAGCUCCGGCUAACUCCGUG
Molecule: ribosomal RNA, 433 nt
Filed under: uncultured bacterium
Lineage: Bacteria
Description: partial 16S ribosomal RNA
Rfam family: Bacterial small subunit ribosomal RNA
Source: RNAcentral